This 468-nucleotide ribosomal RNA is filed under the name uncultured bacterium. RNAcentral's name for it is "partial 16S ribosomal RNA". It matches the Rfam family "Bacterial small subunit ribosomal RNA", at positions 28 to 507 of the family's 1533-position model. The record is from RNAcentral.
GACGAACGCUGGCGGCGUGCUUAACACAUGCAAGUCGAACGGAAAGGCCCUGCUUUUGUGGGGUGCUCGAGUGGCGAACGGGUGAGUAACACGUGAGUAACCUGCCCUUUACUUUGGGAUAACUUCAUGAAACUGGGGCUAAUACCGGAUAGGAGCUCCUGCUUCAUGGUGGGGGUUGGAAAGUUUCGGCGGUUGGGGAUGGACUCGCGGCUUAUCAGCUUGUUGGUGGGGUAGUGGCUUACCAAGGCUUUGACGGGUAGCCGGCCUGAGAGGGUGACCGGCCACAUUGGGACUGAGAUACGGCCCAGACUCCUACGGGAGGCAGCAGUGGGGAAUAUUGCACAAUGGGCGGAAGCCUGAUGCAGCAACGCCGCGUGCGGGAUGACGGCCUUCGGGUUGUAAACCGCUUUCGCCUGUGACGAAGCGUGAGUGACGGUAAUGGGUAAAGAAGCACCGGCUAACUACGUG